AAGUGGAUUAGUGGCGCACGGGUGAGUAACGCAUAGGUCAUAUGCCUCAUAGUCUAGGAUAGCCACUGGAAACGGUGAUUAAUACUGGAUACUCCCUAUGGGGGAAAGUUUUUCGCUAUGAGAUUAGCCUAUGUCUUAUCAGCUUGUUGGUGAGGUAAUGGCUCACCAAGGCUAUGACGGGUAUCCGGCCUGAGAGGGUGAACGGACACACUGGAACUGAGACACGGUCCAGACUCCUACGGGAGGCAGCAAGUAAGGGAAUAUUGCUCAUAUGGGGGUAAACCCUGAAGCUAGCUUACGCACGCGUGGUAGGAUGAAGGUUCUCUUAGGGAUUGUACACUCCUUUUGUUAGAGAAGCAUC
Molecule: ribosomal RNA, 361 nt
Filed under: uncultured Helicobacter sp.
Lineage: Bacteria; Pseudomonadati; Campylobacterota; Epsilonproteobacteria; Campylobacterales; Helicobacteraceae
Description: bacterial SSU rRNA
Rfam family: Bacterial small subunit ribosomal RNA
Source: RNAcentral